Molecule: ribosomal RNA, 2963 nt
Filed under: Aspergillus leporis
Lineage: Eukaryota; Fungi; Ascomycota; Eurotiomycetes; Eurotiales; Aspergillaceae
Description: large subunit ribosomal RNA
Rfam family: Bacterial large subunit ribosomal RNA
Source: RNAcentral
AACGAAGUGAAUUGAAAUAUCUUAGUAACUUUAGGAAAAGAAAUCAAACGAGAUUGUUAUUUGGUGCCAACUAAAUAACAAGAGCCUAUUAACAAAACUUGUUAAAGUAAAACGGAUUAAAAUCUGUUUGAAUAUAGGGGAACCUUCCUCUAAGGCUAAAUAUGAUAUAUAAGCGAUAGUGAAAAGUACCGUGAGGUAAAAUUUGAAAUAGUAGUUUUAUAAGCAGCUCGAGUGAAAAUUUAAAUAAAUAAUAAGAGCGUACCUUUUGCAUAAUGGGUCAGCAAGUUAAUUUUAGAUGCAAGCAAUGAUUUCGUGCGCUUCGCGCAUGAAACUAGCUUAGAUAAACCAAUUAUGAGAAAAUGAAUAAGUAUCUAGAAUUAGACCCGAAGGCUAGUGAUCUUACCAUGGUCAGGGUUAUAAAAGCCCGAACGGGUUAUCGUUGUAUAGAUAUCCGAAGAAUUGUGGUAAGUUAGUGAAAGACAAAACUGACUAGUAUAGCUGGUUUUCCGCGAAACCUAUAUGAGUAGGUAAUUUAAUUAACAUCUUAGCAGGUACAGAACUGUGAUCUCGGACAAUAUCUUUUGAUUUUGUCAACAUCGGGGGGUUGUAGUGACUUUACCGGAGAGUAUUUGCACUCGGAAUGGCAAAGAUGAAUGUUGAAUAAUCGGACAUAGUGCGAUAAGGUUGUAUGUCUAAAGGGAAACAGCCCAGAACAAGAGUUAAGGUUCCAAAAUUAUUGUUGAGUGAAAUUAAGGAUGUUUUUUUUAAAAACAAUCAGGAAAUAGGCUUAGAAGCGGCCAUUUUUUGAAGACCUCGUAACAGAGCACUGAUUAAAUUUUUUAGAAAAAAACACCGAAAAUUUAACGGAUCUAAACAAUAUACCGAAACCUUGUACACAUAUUUAUAAUAAUAAUUAUUGUAUAUGUGGGGUAGCGGAACAUUGGAUAAAUAUUAAUUAUUAUUUCUUCUAAGAAAUAAUAAGUAUGGAUUAUUAUUUAUAAUAUUUAUUAAUUAAGGAUAUUUAUAUAAUAUUAUUAUAUCUAAAAGGUAUAAUGUAUAUAUGAAUAUAUAGAUGUAUUAUAUAUGUCUUUAUUAUUAAAAUAAUCCAUCGAUAUAAUCCAAGAGAGAAUGCUGACAUGAGUAACGAAAAAGGAAUAUCCUCGCCUUAAGCUUAUGGUAUUAUAUUUAAUUUUCGGUAUCUAAAAAUAUUAAUCAAAAGGUAAUUUUGAUGAUAUUUAUAUAUUAAUACUUAAAAGUAAAAAACAAAACCUUUAACAAGUAAUAAAGGUUCUGGAAAAUUUUUUACUUUAGAUAAAAUAUAUACUAAUAUUUUUAGUCUUAUAAAUAAAGCUCAAUAUGUUAUAUUGUAUAACUAUAUAAUUUCUUGUUACAAGUUUUCAAGAUUGUAUAGUGUAAAUACAAUAUAAUAGAGUUUUAUGAAAAAAAAAUAUAUAUUUUAUCUUUAUACUAUUGUAUAAUUUAAGACUGUUAUACAAAUAAUAUAAGUAUAAUAAGGUUUAUAUAUACCGUACCUAGAUACUAUCACAAGUAAGCAAGUAGAGAAUACAAAGGCGUUUGAGUGAACAAUCAUUAAGGAACUCGGCAAAUUGACUACCGUAACUUCGGGAUAAGGAGGGCCAUUAUAAUUAGUUUAACAUAUCUUAGGAUAUGAUUUAAUUAAACUAAUCAUAAGAGGAAACAUAAAAUAAUGUUGUACGACUGUUUAAUAAAAACACAGCACUCUGCAAAGAUAAAAUAUCAAAGUAUUGAGUGUGAUGUCUGCCCAAUGUCGGCUGGGUAACGGAUUUACCUUGGUUUUUAACUGAGGUUUUGAAGGAUACCCCGAUUAAUGGCGGCCUUACCUAUGAGGGUCCUAAGGUAGCGAAAUACCUUGGCCGUUAAAUGCGGUCCUGCAUGAAUGACUUAACGAUACAACAGCUGUCUCGAUGAUUGUCUCAGUGAAAUUGGAAUAGCAGUGCAGAUACUGUUUACCUCUAGAUAGACGAGAAGACCCUAUGCAGCUUUACUGUUACUAAUUGCAAGAGUGAAAAUUUAGGAUGAUUUCGAGUGUAUAAGGUAGUUGUCUGAUAACAAUGAAACACCUUUAUUCGUUUCCUACUAUAUGCUCUUGAGGAUUGGGAGGCAGUUUAUGCGGGGCACAGAUCCCACAAAAAGUACCUGGGUAUAUCCAAAGUUCAUUUUGUAAAUUUGUAAAUUUCUUUACAAAUAUUUUAAUUUGUUAUAAUUAUAUUCAUAAUUAUACAGUUAUUGUUAGAUUAAGUUCAAUAUUUAUUUUUAUUUUAAGUAAGAUUUUAACUAUAUGGUGAAUAGAUGUAUUUUAAACUUUAAUAUUUAAAAGUUUUUUGUCAUAUUAAUAUUGUAUUUUAUCUUUAUUAAUAUGAUAAUUAAUUAUACUUUAAAAGUUUAAUGGCUAAAUCUUGCUUUACUGUUUGACCUACAAGUCUAUCAGUCGCGUAAGCGGGGCAUAUGAUCACAAGAUGCAUAAAGGAAAGGUCUUGGAUUAUAGAAAAAGUUACGCUAGGGAUAACAGGCUAAUUUGCGCAAGAGAGUACAAAUUGAGUGCGCGGUUUGGCACCUCGAUGUCGGCUUAGCUCAUCCACAUGAAUGCAAAAAUCAUGAAGGGUUCGACUGUUCGUCGAUUAAAGAGCUACAUGAGCUGGGUUUAAUACGUCGUGAGACAGUAUGGUUUCUAUCUUCUAGAGGGAAUUAAAGUAGAAUAAAGAUAGCCCCUUCGUACGAAAGGAGUUGGGUAUAUUGACCUAUGGUUUACCUGUUGUUUAUGUUAUAUAUUAUUUAUGUAAAUAAUAUAUCAUUUACUUAUACUUAAGUAAAUUGUUCACAUAGGCAUGGCAGGAAGGCUACGUCAGUUAAAGAUAAGUGCUGAAAGCAUUUAAGCGCGAAGCUUACUUUAGGAUACUUUUAAACGUAGUAGAACACUACGA